RNAcentral lists this ribosomal RNA (467 nucleotides) under uncultured bacterium. RNAcentral's name for it is "partial 16S ribosomal RNA". It matches the Rfam family "Bacterial small subunit ribosomal RNA", at positions 28 to 506 of the family's 1533-position model. The record is from RNAcentral.
GACGAACGCUGGCGGCGUGCUUAACACAUGCAAGUCGAACGGAAAGGCCCUGCUUUUGUGGGGUGCUCGAGUGGCGAACGGGUGAGUAACACGUGAGUAACCUGCCCUUGACUUUGGGAUAACUUCAGGAAACUGGGGCUAAUACCGGAUAGGAGCUCCUGCUGCAUGGUGGGGGUUGGAAAGUUUCGGCGGUUGGGGAUGGACUCGCGACUUAUCAGCUUGUUGGUGGGGUAGUGGCUUACCAAGGCUUUGACGGGUAGCCGGCCUGAGAGGGUGACCGGCCACAUUGGGACUGAGAUACGGCCCAGACUCCUACGGGAGGCAGCAGUGGGGAAUAUUGCACAAUGGGCGGAAGCCUGAUGCAGCAACGCCGCGUGCGGGAUGACGGCCUUCGGGUUGUAAACCGCUUUCGCCUGUGACGAAGCGUGAGUGACGGUAAUGGGGAAAGAAGCACCGGCUAACUACGU